AUCUCUCGUCUUUGGCACGUCUUGAUCAAUCCUGCAAUAACAGUAUCAGCAUCCUUUCAAGAUGCAAAGGCAGGAUGGAUUAGCAAAUCUAACGUUUGAGAAUUGAUGCUCCUAUGAGCUUGAGCUUUCUGUACCCCUUUUAUAAACAAGUCCAGAAGAGAUCAAUUGCUUAAACAGGCUGCAACUUGAUGAAGGCAACUAUGUACUUACAUUACCAUGGACAUGUUUUCCAAUAAGAUGUAAACAAUUGUUUGGGGUCCUAAGUUUUGGCCAUGCUAGUGUAAGAAUACUAAAACUUAAUUUAAGAAUAAUAAAUUAAAAUUAACAGGGAUGAAAAUAAACAGAAAAAAAAAUACUUCCGAAUGAUGAUGGGAACAACUUGAUUAGCUCCGGUAAAGACAUCAGCCUGGUCAUCAUAUUGGGUUUAUCUGUUUAGUCACCAUGUCUUGGAAUUUAUGGGUUUCAGUUGCUGACUCAACAGUCGCAGUUUCAUUUCACCACACUAACUUACAUGAAUCGGUGUCACUGCGAUUCAACAAGGAUGUUUGUUGCAGCAUUUAUGUCAUUUCUCGCCUGCACAAGUGCCUGUCUGGCUGAGUUCCUGUCAAAACCCAUGGAAACCAAUGUGGCAAUAGAGUCCUCUGGGGGCUCCACAGGAGGAACUAUGGGAGUAGGGUAGUUUCUUUCCACUUGGCGACCUGUGUAGGAUGGCACACUUCCCGCAAUAUUCCUUGUCGUUGCUCCACGAGGACUCCCCAUAGAUGGCCAAGAAAGCCGUGAGAAGAAUGAAGUUAUGAACUCUGGAAACUUGGCUUUCCGGAUGUGAAAGAUAUUAAGACGAUACAAUGAUCCGGCAAAGAUGCCACACAUCCCUGGCAAGACAGAUCUUUUCCAGGAUGAUAAAAGAAGCUGAAGACCAGCCAGAUAUAUGAAAGACUUAUCAGAGAAGUGAACACCAAAGACACGAAACCGUGUUGAUACAGGAAUGUCAAAGAAAAAGGGUACAAAUGAAGCAAAUAUAACACCGUAAGGUCCAGUUGUGACUAAGUUUGGUGUGGGAUCUCUAAGGAAUCCUAGAGCAAGGACCUCAAACAGUAAUGAAACUAUUAUAGAGAACAAAAUGAAGACCGAGUAUUUAUUGGAACCUAUCUGUCUUUCAAAGACCCUGAAGUAAUAUAGAAGAUAAAGUCCAAACAGAAGUUCUGGUGUAGAUGAAAAGGAAAAAACUGACACAAUAAGCUUCCAUAAACGUGGUUUCAAGAAAAUAUCCUGAUACGACAAUCCAAGCUUGGCAAAGCCGCCUUGGAUCCCAAAGAAAAGGGUGAAAAGGGCACAAGCGAUAACGAAUGUUCUCGUCACUGGCGCAUUGUUGAAACCAGAGGGACCGCCGUUCAUCUUUCUCGUCUUCUCGGUGAAGGACUACCUAAGCUUUAGCUUGUUUCUUUUUCACCAAAUUCUAUC
RNAcentral lists this unclassified non-coding RNA (1461 nucleotides) under Hevea brasiliensis (rubber tree). Lineage: Eukaryota; Viridiplantae; Streptophyta; Magnoliopsida; Malpighiales; Euphorbiaceae. The record is from RNAcentral.